AAAACAAAAAGACUGGAAUGUUAGUUUUGAAUGAGCAAUUGAAUUGAUAUCCCUCACCCAGGAACUGGCUUUUCAGGUCAUUUCACUAUGGACAUUCCCUUUGCUGAAACCAUAUUUCACUUGUGGUGACUACAUUCCAUUAUCUG
This is a long non-coding RNA of Pipistrellus kuhlii (Kuhl's pipistrelle), 146 nucleotides long. RefSeq lists it as uncharacterized. The record is from RefSeq and is a predicted model, not a curated record. The transcript has 3 exons. NCBI's taxonomy places the organism in Eukaryota, Metazoa, Chordata, Mammalia, Chiroptera, Vespertilionidae.